Long non-coding RNA from Acanthopagrus latus (yellowfin seabream), 2456 nucleotides. RefSeq lists it as uncharacterized. The record is from RefSeq and is a predicted model, not a curated record. NCBI's taxonomy places the organism in Eukaryota, Metazoa, Chordata, Actinopteri, Spariformes, Sparidae. The transcript is spliced from 4 exons.
AAGCAAAUACAAAUAUUGAAAUGUGUUUCUUUAUAUCAGCCAUUGGUAUUUUUUUUUAAACAUUAACAAACAGUUUUGAUAUAAAUACCUUAGAUUUUAUCCAGGUCAGUAACAUGACUAUGAAUGGCAAUGUUAGUCAACCAGACUGAAAAUAUCUCAACAACAUACAAGACAAUCAUGGGUCCCAAAAGGUGAACUUGUAUGAUAAUAAUACAUAAAUAAAUUGGCAGUAUUUGUUUAAUAUUAAAACCAACCACAAAAGAUGGAUUACAGCUGCCAGUGACUAAUCCAGUUCAGACUCUUAGGCCAUUGGUAACUGGAAAACAGGCUCCUUAGUUUAACUUUAAAUCACAAAAAAAGAAAACUUAAAGAAGACGUUAAAUUAACUAUUUAAUCUAAAUUAAGUUGAUUCAAAUAUUCAAGGCAGCAUUUAAACAGCCCAAAAUGAUUUACAUUGUACUUUGGUAAAAGUGAAAGUUUUACUUGAGUCUUAAAGUAUCUGGUUUUGAUCUGACGUACAAAUAAAAGUAAUAUAUAUUUACAUGUAUGUAUAAAGUGUGUCGACUGAUUGUCAAAUCUGACAUUCAGCAUGUUUCUGAUCAUCAGAAUUAAUUAAUCUUCUUCUUUUUUGGCUCUGGUGUAUGAUGUCAUCUACAAAGUAACUAUAGUAAAGUAAAAUAUAGCGAGUUAAAAGUAAAAUACUUCCAAGAUGUUGUGGAGUGGAAGAAUGAAGUAGUGGAACACAGAGAUACUCAAGUAAAACACCUCUAACGUGUGCAGGACUUGAGUAAAUGUGUUUCACCACGUAUCACACUCUUAACAUCUCAUCUCAUCUCAUCUCUACUUUUUAUUCACAACUUAUCAGGCUGUUAGUUUACGACACUGAAAUGUCAACAGCUGGUGAAAAUGAGAUGACUCAACUUUGUCCUGUGGGUUUGUGUGUUUGAACAUCUGGCUGGCUCCUCUGCUGGAGCAGGAAAAUAGGAGUACCACUGAAUUUGUGGCGCAACAUUUCCAGUAAGAGCUGGAAAGGACAGAGAGAGAGAGAGAGGAGAGGCCACUGCACGCUUCACCAGACGAACGUGGCGCAGCUGGAUUGUUGUUUUAAAAAGAAGCACACGGAUCUAACUCAUCCCAGCAUGAAGUUAACAAGGCUCGUUGGCGCGCUGCCCGUCGCCCUGCUUGUUGUAGGAAAUAUUGCGACUUCUGUCGCUCUCUCUGUUUUACAAAGUCUUGACUGUACCCACGACUUAAACAGGAUGUCCUGUGACUUUGACGCACCGAUCUGCUCUGGAUACAACCUGACACUUCGGUCCCUCAGCUUUGAUGAGUAAACUGAUUUUACUUAUUUCUACCAACUUAAACAAUAAACUUCUAUUUUUUUGUAGUUCUAGUUGAUUCAUCAAAUGGAAAUAAAUCAUUUUGUUUCACUAGAACAUUCAGUAAUGCAUUUAUAUUCAGUAUAUAUAUGUUAGGAUCAGCCUGAGAAGCCAGAAGUAUUCAAUAUAAUAAUGGUGUAUCCAUACAUUUAAUUAUCUUGUAUUCCACAGCGAAAGUUCUUGCAUUUUCCAGCAGUGCGACAGGGGAAAGUGUUGUUGCUCUACCCAAAUGAGUCUCAUCUAUGGGGAGACUCACAAUGCAACAGUUUGGAAAGGAGCUGUGAACUUGGUCUCCAAAACCAUCAGCGUGGCCGACAGCUGUGAGUUGACUCACGUUUUGUUAACUGGAAAUCUGCAUCUGCCUGGAACAGACGGAUCCAGUCUCAGAUUAUCAGAGUGGAGCAGGAGAAACUCACUUCUCUUGCCUCUCUUCUUCUUCCACAGUUAAGCCCCAACAAAUGUCACAGUGGUGGAAUCCAAUGUGAACGUUGAAGUCACCUGGAGCACGAACAUGGAUGACAAGCCCAGUGUCAGAGACGACUUGAGAGCUAUUGUGACUUACCGUGAAAAAGGCAACACACCACAGAUGACGGUGUCACGACCGAGAUCAUCUGUCCUGGAGAUGUAGACGCAGACAUGGACUUUUAAUUAUGUCAUAUGUCUUUUAUCCAUUCCAGGUAUCUGAACCUUUCAAACCAAUUACAGUUAAUGGACUGAGAUACUAUGUAAUAAAUGGUGUACACCUGGAGCCGAGUACAACGUAUUUGGUCAGUGUGAGGAGUGUGUACUGGAACAACGUAACCAGUGACAGCAGUGAAGAGGUGGAAUUCACAACACGUUCCUGGUGGGUGGAGUUAUAAUCAGCACCCCUGGGAGCACCUGAUCAGUUUGCUGCUGGAGCCAUUUUCCCAAAAGGUUCUUUUAGCCAAGGCCCACUUUCUGUUUCAUCAACCACGAAGAUGGAUUAAAGCUGCCUACAGUCCACUCAGUUACUCAAAAAUCAUCAUGUUAAAUGUCAUCACAAACCAAAGUAUGUUGAUGUAAGUUGAUUUACGCUCAAUAAAAACUUUGUCAAGA